This 253-nucleotide ribosomal RNA is filed under the name uncultured bacterium. RNAcentral's name for it is "partial 16S ribosomal RNA". It matches the Rfam family "Bacterial small subunit ribosomal RNA", at positions 524 to 776 of the family's 1533-position model. The record is from RNAcentral.
UACGUAGGGUGCGAGCGUUAAUCGGAGUUACUGGGCGUAAAGCGUGCGCAGGCGGCUUUGCAAGACAGAUGUGAAAUCCCCGGGCUCAACCUGGGAACUGCAUUUGUGACUGCAAGGCUAGAGUACGGCAGAGGGGGAUGGAAUUCCGCGUGUAGCAGUGAAAUGCGUAGAUAUGCGGAGGAACACCAAUGGCGAAGGCAAUCCCCUGGGCCUGUACUGACGCUCGUGCACGAAAGCGUGGGGAGCAAACAGG